AACGUAGGAGGCAAGCGUUAUCCGGAGUUACUGGGCGUAAAGCGCGUGCAGGUGGAUCGAUCAGUUGGUUAUGAAAGCUCCUGGCUAAACUGGGAGAGGUUGACCAAUACUGUCGAUCUAGAGUGGAGAAGAGGUAAACGGAAUUCCGCGUGUAGUGGUGAAAUGCGUAGAGAUGCGGAAGAACACCAGUGGCGAAGGCGGUUUACUGGUCUCCAACUGACACUCAGACGCGAAAGCAUGGGUAGCGAACGGG
RNAcentral lists this ribosomal RNA (253 nucleotides) under Anaerolineaceae bacterium. RNAcentral describes it as "partial 16S ribosomal RNA". It matches the Rfam family "Bacterial small subunit ribosomal RNA", at positions 524 to 776 of the family's 1533-position model. The record is from RNAcentral. Lineage: Bacteria; Bacillati; Chloroflexota; Anaerolineae; Anaerolineales; Anaerolineaceae. RNAcentral also lists the same sequence under 1 other name.